Molecule: long non-coding RNA, 1128 nt
Filed under: Zonotrichia albicollis (white-throated sparrow)
Lineage: Eukaryota; Metazoa; Chordata; Aves; Passeriformes; Passerellidae
Description: lncRNA (ENSZALG00000009264.1)
Source: RNAcentral
CGCUGGCGCUGGGGGUGCUGGUGCUGCUCCUGUCCCUGCAGAUCCCAAAUCCCCAAAUUCCCAACAUCUCAACCAUCCCAAUAUCCCAAAUCCCCAAUUCCCAAUAUCCCAAACAUCCCAAUUUUCCCAAAUUCCCAUUUUUCCCGUUUCCAGCUGCUGACGCUGGCGCUGGGGGUGCUGGUGCUGCUNUAUUUCCCAGAUUUUUUGCGGAUUUUUUCUGGAUUUUUCCUGGAUUUUGUUCCCAGAUUUUUCCUGGAUUUUGUUCCCAGAUUUUUCCUAGAUUUUGUUCUCGGAUUUUUGCCAGAUCUUUCAUGGAUUUGGUUCCUAGAUAUUUCCUGGGGUUUUCACGGAUUUUUCCAGGAUUAUUCCCAGAUUUUGCCUGGAUUUUGUUCCCAGAUUUUUCCUGGAUUUUUCCAGGAUUAUUCCCAGAUUUUUCCUGGAUUUUGUUCCCAGAUUUUUCCUGGGUUUUUCCUGGAUUUUUCUUCCCGGAUAUUUCCGAGAUUUUUUGCAGAUUUUUUCCUGGAUUUUUCCAGGAUUAUUCCCAGAUUUUUCCUGGGUUUUUCCCAGGUUUUUCCUGGAUUUUUCCCGGAUUUUUCCCAAAUUUCUCCUAGAUUUUGCUCCCAGAUUUUUCCUGGAUUUUUCCUGGCUUUUGUUCCCGGAUAUUUCCCAGAUUUUUCGUGGAUUUUUCCUGGAUUUUGUUCCCGGAUAUUUCCCAGAUUUUUUGUGGAUUUUUUCCGGAUUUUUUCAGGAUUAUUCCCGGAUUUUUCCUGGAUUUUGUUCCCAGAUUUUUCCCGGAUUUUUCCCGGAUUUUUCCCAAAUUUCUCCUGGAUUUUGUUCCCAGAUUUUUCGUGGAUUUUUCCUGGCUUUUCCUCCCGGAUAUUUCCCAGAUUUUUCACGGAUUUUUUCUGGAUUUUUCCAGGAUUAUUCCCAGAUUUUUCCUGGAUUUUGUUCCCAGAUUUUUCCUGGGUUUUUCCUGGAUUUUUGUUCCCGGAUAUUUCCCAGAUUUUUCACGGAUUUUUUCUGGAUUUUUCCAGGAUUUUUCCUGGAUUUUGUUCCCAGAUUUUUCGUGGAUUUUUCCUGGCUUUUGUUCCCGGAUAUUUCCCAGAUUUUUCGCUGAUUUUUUCUUGA